RNAcentral lists this ribosomal RNA (466 nucleotides) under uncultured bacterium. Its description in RNAcentral is "partial 16S ribosomal RNA". It matches the Rfam family "Bacterial small subunit ribosomal RNA", at positions 28 to 507 of the family's 1533-position model. The record is from RNAcentral.
GACGAACGCUGGCGGCGCGCCUAACACAUGCUAGUCGAACGAGCGAGAGAGAGCUUGCUUUCUCGAGCGAGUGGCGAACGGGUGAGUAACGCGUGAGGAACCUGCCUCAAAGAGGGGGACAACAGUUGGAAACGACUGCUAAUACCGCAUAAGCCCACGGCUCGGCAUCGAGCAGGGGGAAAAGGAGCAAUCCGCUUUGAGAUGGCCUCGCGUCCGAUUAGCUAGUUGGUGGGGUAACGGCCCACCAAGGCGACGAUCGGUAGCCGGACUGAGAGGUUGAACGGCCACAUUGGGACUGAGACACGGCCCAGACUCCUACGGGAGGCAGCAGUGGGGAAUAUUGCACAAUGGGGGAAACCCUGAUGCAGCGACGCCGCGUGGAGGAAGAAGGUCUUCGGAUUGUAAACUCCUGUUGUUGGGGAAGAUAAUGACGGUACCCAACAAGGAAGUGACGGCUAACUACGUG